GACGAACGCUGGCGGCGUGCCUAAUACAUGCAAGUAGAACGCUGAAGAGAGGAGCUUGCUCUUCUUGGAUGAGUUGCGAACGGGUGAGUAACGCGUAGGUAACCUGCCUUGUAGCGGGGGAUAACUAUUGGAAACGAUAGCUAAUACCGCAUAACAAUGGAUGACCCAUGUCAUUUAUUUGAAAGGGGCAAAUGCUCCACUACAAGAUGGACCUGCGUUGUAUUAGCUAGUAGGUGAGGUAACGGCUCACCUAGGCGACGAUACAUAGCCGACCUGAGAGGGUGAUCGGCCACACUGGGACUGAGACACGGCCCAGACUCCUACGGGAGGCAGCAGUAGGGAAUCUUCGGCAAUGGGGGCAACCCUGACCGAGCAACGCCGCGUGAGUGAAGAAGGUUUUCGGAUCGUAAAGCUCUGUUGUAGGUCAAGAACGAGUGUGAGAGUGGAAAGUUCACACUGUGACGGUAGCUUACCAGAAAGGGACGGCUAACUACGUGCCAGCAGCCGCGGUAAUACGUAGGUCCCGAGCGUUGUCCGGAUUUAUUGGGCGUAAAGCGAGCGCAGGCGGUUUGAUAAGUCUGAAGUUAAAGGCUGUGGCUCAACCAUAGUUCGCUUUGGAAACUGUCAAACUUGAGUGCAGAAGGGGAGAGUGGAAUUCCAUGUGUAGCGGUGAAAUGCGUAGAUAUAUGGAGGAACACCGGUGGCGAAAGCGGCUCUCUGGUCUGUAACUGACGCUGAGGCUCGAAAGCGUGGGGAGCGAACAGGAUUAGAUACCCUGGUAGUCCACGCCGUAAACGAUGAGUGCUAGGUGUUGGAUCCUUUCCGGGAUUCAGUGCCGCAGCUAACGCAUUAAGCACUCCGCCUGGGGAGUACGACCGCAAGGUUGAAACUCAAAGGAAUUGACGGGGGCCCGCACAAGCGGUGGAGCAUGUGGUUUAAUUCGAAGCAACGCGAAGAACCUUACCAGGUCUUGACAUCCCGAUGCUAUUUCUAGAGAUAGAAAGUUACUUCGGUACAUCGGUGACAGGUGGUGCAUGGUUGUCGUCAGCUCGUGUCGUGAGAUGUUGGGUUAAGUCCCGCAACGAGCGCAACCCCUAUUGUUAGUUGCCAUCAUUCAGUUGGGCACUCUAGCGAGACUGCCGGUAAUAAACCGGAGGAAGGUGGGGAUGACGUCAAAUCAUCAUGCCCCUUAUGACCUGGGCUACACACGUGCUACAAUGGUUGGUACAACGAGUUGCGAGUCGGUGACGGCAAGCUAAUCUCUUAAAGCCAAUCUCAGUUCGGAUUGUAGGCUGCAACUCGCCUACAUGAAGUCGGAAUCGCUAGUAAUCGCGGAUCAGCACGCCGCGGUGAAUACGUUCCCGGGCCU
RNAcentral lists this ribosomal RNA (1369 nucleotides) under uncultured bacterium. RNAcentral's name for it is "bacterial SSU rRNA". It matches the Rfam family "Bacterial small subunit ribosomal RNA", at positions 28 to 1381 of the family's 1533-position model. The record is from RNAcentral.